AGAUGUGCUCGUAGAGUAACGAGCAGGGUAAACAAAAGAAAUGCUCAUUAAGA
Molecule: non-coding RNA, 53 nt
Filed under: unclassified sequences
Description: 6A RNA
Rfam family: 6A RNA
About the family: Actinobacteria (1 example), Firmicutes, Fusobacteria. Terminator (Clostridia)
Source: Rfam by way of RNAcentral